CGAACGCUGGCGGCGUGCUUAACACAUGCAAGUCGAACGGUGAAGCGCCUUCCUUUUUGGUGGGUGUGGAUGAGUGGCGAACGGGUGAGUAACACGUGAGUAACCUGCCCCCUUCUUCUGGAUAACCGCAUGAAAGUGUGGCUAAUACGGGAUAUUCUGGGUCUGUCGCAUGAUGGGUCUGGGAAAGAUAUUGUUUCGGUGGGGGAUGGGCUCGCGGCCUAUCAGCUUGUUGGUGGGGUGAUGGCCUACCAAGGCGGUGACGGGUAGCCGGCCUGAGAGGGUGGACGGUCACACUGGGACUGAGACACGGCCCAGACUCCUACGGGAGGCAGCAGUGGGGAAUAUUGCACAAUGGGCGCAAGCUUGAUGCAGCGACGCCGCGUGAGGGAUGGAGGCCUUCGGGUUGUGAACCUCUUUCGCCAGUGAAGCAGGCCUGCCUCGUUUGUGGGUGGGUUGACGGUAGCUGGAUAAGAAGCGCCGGCUAACUACGUG
RNAcentral lists this ribosomal RNA (492 nucleotides) under uncultured bacterium. RNAcentral describes it as "partial 16S ribosomal RNA". It matches the Rfam family "Bacterial small subunit ribosomal RNA", at positions 30 to 507 of the family's 1533-position model. The record is from RNAcentral.